AAUGAACGUUGGCGGCGUGGAUUAGGCAUGCAAGUCGAGCGAGAACCCCGCAAGGGGGGACAGCGGCGAAAGGGACAGUAAUGUGUAGAUUCUCUGCCCUCAGGUCCGGGAUAGCUGCGGGAAACUGCAGGUAAUACCGGAUAACAUCUCCGGAUCAAAGGUGUGAUUCCGCCUGAGGAUGAGUCUGCAUCCUAUUAGCUAGUUGGUGGGGUAAUGGCCUACCAAGGCAUUGAUGGGUAGCAGGUGUGAGAGCACGACCUGCGUCAUUGGGACUGAGACACUGCCCAGACACCUACGGGUGGCUGCAGUCGAGAAUCUGCGGCAAUGGGCGCAAGCCUGACCGAGCGACGCCGCGUGUGGGAUGAAGGCCUUCGGGUUGUAAACCACUGUCAGAGGGGAUGAAAUGCAGGUGGGUGCUCCCAUCUGUUGGACAUAGCCGCAGAGGAAGGACGGGCUAAGUUCGUG
Molecule: ribosomal RNA, 465 nt
Filed under: uncultured bacterium
Lineage: Bacteria
Description: partial 16S ribosomal RNA
Rfam family: Bacterial small subunit ribosomal RNA
Source: RNAcentral